Oncorhynchus tshawytscha (Chinook salmon) is the source of this 1330-nucleotide long non-coding RNA. RefSeq lists it as uncharacterized. The transcript is spliced from 5 exons. NCBI's taxonomy places the organism in Eukaryota, Metazoa, Chordata, Actinopteri, Salmoniformes, Salmonidae. The record is from RefSeq and is a predicted model, not a curated record.
UUUUUAGAUUAUUAUUAUUUUUUACAUGUCAAAAUAGCAUGCUUCCCCUUUAAGAGAACUGCGUUCCAAAAGAAAUAUCGACCUGAGGUGCGUUCAGUUCGCUUGAACGUUUGCUACUUUGCAGAACGGUUUGUACUGAACUAUACGUUUCCCCAAAACGUUCUUGAACAGACUUUGAGGUAGGUUUGCUUCCAUUUGGUGGGUGUGGCUUGAAGCAAUGACCGACAUAUCUAAAGGGAAGUGGCCAUGCUGACAGCGUUCCCCAACCUCUACCUGUUUACAACUCGUCAUUCAGUACAGCACUGUUUCCGUUCAAUUUAAUGUUUCAAGAUGUAAAAACAUACUGAACUCAGCCCAAACCUCCAGACGAGCUUCAAUGACAUACAACACUCCUUCCGUGGCCUCCAGCUGCUCUUAAAUUCUAUAGGCUUCUACUAGUCUCAAGUUGACUAUAAACUGGCUGGCCUUGCCGAUGCCCUACCAUCUUUGCAGCAGUGACCUUUACCCUCAUACUGGUAACCCCCUUGAGGUCACCUACAGGAAACCAUGGAGCAGAGCUUCUCCCUCAGAUGCACUGGUGUAAGUGGACAUAUCCCAGUUUGAAGUGCCAAGGCUGACAGUCAAUGACUCUCACUGUGAGAUGGAUAUCAAGUCAUCAGAAUGUUGCCUACUCAGAUGGAGAUGGACCUGCCCCUCACCCACUCUCCCAAGCCCAGCCUGACCCAGCUCAGUCUGGUCUCCUCCCAUCUCCCAGCAGAGCAGAUCUCUCCAGUCUACAGACAUGUCACAGGUGAAGCAGCAUGCACCACAGCCACCCACCACAGAACCAAGGCCUGGAUUAGAUCAAGUCUGUUGCCUAGUUCCUCCUUUUGGUAGUUCCUCCUAGUAAGUCAUCAUUCAGGUAGGUCCUCCUAGCCAGUUAGCAUUUCAGACUGAUCCAGUGAAGAAUUACAUCACUACUCAAUAUUUUGUAUGAAGUCUGCCAGGAGUUUGACUAAAUGUUCCGAAUUGGUCAAUUGAUACAUUUAAGUACAUAACUAUAGAGAACAUACAAAAAUGCUUCGUCCAAACUUUUGACUGUAACUGUAUAAUAUGACUUUACUUGAGAGAAGCCUGUCACGUUCACUGUCUUCAAAGUCCCUGUCAUAAAUGAGCCAAGGCGCAGCGUGCAUGUAAUUCCACAUCUUUAAUUGAAGAGAAACCUUCACAAAAAACAGGUAAACAGAAACCGAACGUGACGCAGCCGUGGCGCACACAAACACUCACGAAAAAUAAAUAAUUACCCACAAACACAUGUGGGAAAAGGCUGCCUAAGUAUGAUUCCCAAUCA